CAAAUACUUUGUAAGACUCUCUACAGAGCCAUUCCCCAAGUUACCUCUCUAUGCUAGGCUGCAGCUGCCCACUGAUGCCAAACCAUGAGUGGGGUUUAGUGGAUGGGAGAAGGAGGUGAAGUGAAAGAAAUGUUUGCUUGUGAGACCACUAGCAUUCAUGGAAUGCUGCUGACAGAUGGCUGCCAAGGUUAUAAGGGUAUUUAUCACUUAAGGAGAUAAAUCAUUGCUGUGUCCUCCCAAAAUGAUGUUGCAUCUUUGAACUUCUUCCUGAAUAAAGCUCUUCUUGUUUUCUGCUAGGCUCUGCAUUGGCGAUUGAAGGAACAGUGCCUGACUAAUGACGCUGGACAGCAAGGAAAUACAAUUGUCCUGGAAGAGCUGGCAGGCUGUUGAAAUGUCAGAUGGUAAAAACAACCAAGAGUUCCAGAUGGGGCAGUCGGAAGAGAAACAUGCUGAAGAUGGUAAUGGAAAACUUCUGGAUUCUCUCAGCUGGGAGUCCCAUGUCCUCACCUGUGACUUCCCAGCCCAAUCACUGCUCAAGCCUUAUGCAAAGCAGUAUGCCUUGAGGAAGUUCUUCAUAACCAGGGUUUGCGGAUGUCCCCUUGGAGCCUUUAGAUGUGGAUCAGGAUGCUGCGUUGGUGGGCGCUACACAGACAGCUACUGA
This is a long non-coding RNA of Anser brachyrhynchus (Pink-footed goose), 661 nucleotides long. NCBI's taxonomy places the organism in Eukaryota, Metazoa, Chordata, Aves, Anseriformes, Anatidae. The record is from Ensembl.